CUGCAGUAGUGUAUGCUCACCAUAGCCCCUCUAUGCAAAACUAUGGAAGUUAUUUAUAAAGGACAAUUCUGUCGACAUCCCAUGCUAAUUCAGUCAGCCAAUUUUAGAAGUUUGGCACCAUAACUACUACAGCGAACUGUAGUGGCUUUAGUGCCCUCCAAAAGUAAGGGUUCAAACCAAUUAAGAACAGUUUGAAAACUUAGCUGUGUCCAACACCCGUGGAGGCAGUGACAGGUUCUCAGUGGGAUCCAGAUAAGCUAUCAAACUGUUCUGAAAUCUUUUGACUUCUUACCCUGAAAAGGUGCCAGGAUGCCCUGACACCAUAACCACUUCAGUGGGAUGUAGUAGUUAUGGUGCCAAAGUUCUAAAAGUGGAGCAAUGUAUAACACUGGAAUGUUGACAGAAUUGUUCUUUAUACACAGCCU
Pelobates cultripes (western spadefoot toad) is the source of this 425-nucleotide non-coding RNA. The record is from the annotation of a GenBank genome assembly. Lineage: Eukaryota; Metazoa; Chordata; Amphibia; Anura; Pelobatidae.